Apis mellifera (honey bee) is the source of this 69-nucleotide non-coding RNA. The record is from Rfam. NCBI's taxonomy places the organism in Eukaryota, Metazoa, Arthropoda, Insecta, Hymenoptera, Apidae.
AUUAUAUGAUGAAUACUUAUAAGCUUGAUAAAUCGUGGAAGUAAAAAGCUGAUUUAAUGAGCCUGAUAU